This is a long non-coding RNA of Hippocampus zosterae (dwarf seahorse), 874 nucleotides long. RefSeq lists it as uncharacterized. The transcript has 2 exons. The record is from RefSeq and is a predicted model, not a curated record. Lineage: Eukaryota; Metazoa; Chordata; Actinopteri; Syngnathiformes; Syngnathidae.
GGGAGACUGCGAAGAAGCGCAACGGCAGAUGCUCGAUCUGAGGUCCAGCGGUACCUGACAGAGGGGAAUACUAUUGGAGGAACCAACACACUACUUUUCCCAACCUCUCCCACCUCUUAAGGGAGUUCCUCUGUACGGCGGCGUCAUCAGUACCAUGGACGUUGAAAGUCCAGCAGGAGUCAGGAUCCACACGGUGCAUCAUUGGGUCAACACGCUUCAUGCCACCCCAAUGACCCCAUAUACCCAUCACGAUAACUAGGCACGUCGUUGGAGUUUUCCAUGAUCUUGCGGACAGGCGUGCGGCGCAGCGGGUGGACGAGGACGAGCGGAGGCUGUCGAAGGUGAGAAAGAAGUCGUAUUUUACGCCAUGUUAAUCUCUUUGGGGCCGAAAGUCGAGCAAUUUCCGGGGUAAGCCAAAUCAGUCACCCUGGCGGGUCAACAGGUGGCGCUCGUGUGCAAAACACCGUGGAACAAGCAGCGGUAGAAGAAGGUUGGCCCGGAUUGGCCGACGUGACGUCAGGCUAGCAAAUGAAUUAGAGUCAGGUGUGCGGGAGGGAUUUAAUCGAGCGCGGUGCACAGCUGCGGCAAGAUGGCGACCGAGCGAGGACACGAGUGAGCACACGAGCAAAUGUUUGUCGCUUGUCGUCCUUUCUCACGAUGUCCUUUUGUUUGUUGCCCGAUUUGCAGCGUAGGAGGUUGGACUGCCGGACGCCACGACCCGUUCGCCUUUCCCUUGAUGUAGUGCAUUGUGCUCUUCGUUUCUCUUGCCGCGUUUUCAACUUUUUGGGGGUUUGUUUUAAAGCUGGCCAGCUUUUUUUUUUUUUUUUUUUUUUUUUUAAUUGUUGCAAAUGACAAAACCGAUGUCUUUGUGCUU